Molecule: ribosomal RNA, 494 nt
Filed under: uncultured bacterium
Lineage: Bacteria
Description: partial 16S ribosomal RNA
Rfam family: Bacterial small subunit ribosomal RNA
Source: RNAcentral
GACGAACGCUGGCGGCGCGCUUAACACAUGCAAGUCGAACGGAAAGGCCUGCUUUCCCUUGUGGAUUGCGGGUACUCGAGUGGCGAACGGGUGAGUAACACGUGAGUGAUCUGCCCCCAACUUGGGUAUAAGCCUGGGAAACUGGGUCUAAUUCCCGAUAGGACUGCAGGGUGGUGCCUGUGGUGGAAAACGAUUUUCUAGUGGUUGGGGAUGAGCUCGCGGCCUAUCAGCUUGUUGGUGGGGUAAUGGCCUACCAAGGCGGCGACGGGUAGCCGGCCUGAGAGGGUGGACGGCCGCAUUGGGACUGAGAUACGGCCCAGACGGCUACGGGAGGCAGCAGUGGGGAGUAUUGCACAAUGGGCGGAAGCCUGAUGCAGCGACGCCGCGUGGGGGAUGACGGCAUUCGGGUUGUAAACUCCUUGCGACCGCGAGGAAGCCACCUGGUUGGAAGGGUGGUGACGGUAGUGGUAGAAGAAGCACCGGCUAACUACGUG